AGAGUUUGAUCCUGGCUCAGGACGAACGCUGGCGGCGUGCCUAACACAUGCAAGUCGAGCGAUGAAGUUCCUUCGGGAACGGAUUAGCGGCGGACGGGUGAGUAACACGUGGGUAACCUGCCUCAAAGAGGGGGAUAGCCUCCCGAAAGGGAGAUUAAUACCGCAUAACAUUAUUUUCUCGCAUGAGAAGAUAAUCAAAGGAGCAAUCCGCUUUGAGAUGGACCCGCGGCGCAUUAGCUAGUUGGUGAGGUAACGGCUCACCAAGGCGACGAUGCGUAGCCGACCUGAGAGGGUGAUCGGCCACAUUGGAACUGAGACACGGUCCAGACUCCUACGGGAGGCAGCAGUGGGGAAUAUUGCGCAAUGGGGGAAACCCUGACGCAGCAACGCCGCGUGAGUGAUGAAGGUCUUCGGAUUGUAAAGCUCUGUCUUUGGGGACGAUAAUGACGGUACCCAAGGAGGAAGCCACGGCUAACUACGUGCCAGCAGCCGCGGUAAUACGUAGGUGGCAAGCGUUGUCCGGAUUUACUGGGCGUAAAGAGUAUGUAGGCGGAUAUUUAAGUCAGAUGUGAAAUUCCCGGGCUUAACCUGGGCGCUGCAUUUGAAACUGGGGUAUCUAGAGUGCGGGAGAGGAAAGUGGAAUUCCUAGUG
Molecule: ribosomal RNA, 651 nt
Filed under: uncultured Clostridium sp.
Lineage: Bacteria; Bacillati; Bacillota; Clostridia; Eubacteriales; Clostridiaceae
Description: bacterial SSU rRNA
Rfam family: Bacterial small subunit ribosomal RNA
Source: RNAcentral